UACGGAAGGCAGCAGUGGGGAAUAUUGCACAAUGGGCGAAAGCCUGAUGCAGCUAUGCCGCGUGUAUGAAGAAGGCCUUAGGGUUGUAAAGUACUUUCAUCGGGGAGGAAAAAACAAAACUAAUAAUUUUAUUUCUUGACGUUACCCGAAAAAGAAGCACCGGCUAACUCCGUGCCAGCAGCUGCGGUAAUACGGAGGGUGCUAGCGUUAAUCAGAAUUACUGGGCGUAAAGAGCACGUAGGUGGUUUUUUUAAGUCAGAUGUGAAAUCCCUGGGCUUAACCUAGGAACUGCAUUUUGAAACUGAAAUACUAGAGUAUCGUAGAGGGAGGUAGAAUUCUAGGUGUAGCGGUGAAAUGCGUAGAUAUCUGGAGGAAUACCUGUGGCGAAAGCGGCCUCCUAAACGAAUACUGACACUGAGGUGCGAAAGCGUGGGGAGCAAACAGGGAUUAGAUACC
Molecule: ribosomal RNA, 456 nt
Filed under: uncultured bacterium
Lineage: Bacteria
Description: bacterial SSU rRNA
Rfam family: Bacterial small subunit ribosomal RNA
Source: RNAcentral